This 288-nucleotide ribosomal RNA is filed under the name uncultured Bacteroides sp. Its description in RNAcentral is "partial 16S ribosomal RNA". It matches the Rfam family "Bacterial small subunit ribosomal RNA", at positions 59 to 339 of the family's 1533-position model. Lineage: Bacteria; Pseudomonadati; Bacteroidota; Bacteroidia; Bacteroidales; Bacteroidaceae. The record is from RNAcentral.
AAGUCGAGGGGCAGCGGGAUUGAAGCUUGCUUCAAUUGCCGGCGACCGGCGCACGGGUGAGUAACGCGUAUCCAACCUUCCGUACACUCAGGGAUAGCCUUUCGAAAGAAAGAUUAAUACCUGAUGGUAUCUUAAGCACACAUGUAAUUAAGAUUAAAGAUUUAUCGGUGUACGAUGGGGAUGCGUUCCAUUAGGUAGUAGGCGGGGUAACGGCCCACCUAGCCGACGAUGGAUAGGGGUUCUGAGAGGAAGGUCCCCACAUUGGAACUGAGACACGGUCCAAACUCC